RNAcentral lists this ribosomal RNA (467 nucleotides) under uncultured bacterium. Its description in RNAcentral is "bacterial SSU rRNA". It matches the Rfam family "Bacterial small subunit ribosomal RNA", at positions 36 to 518 of the family's 1533-position model. The record is from RNAcentral.
CUGGCGGCGUGCCUAACACAUGCAAGUCGAGCGAGGAGAUCCCUUCGGGGAUGAACCUAGCGGCGGACGGGUGAGUAACACGUGGGCAACCUGCCUUAUAGAGGGGAAUAGCCUUCCGAAAGGAAGAUUAAUACCGCAUAACAUUACAUUUUCGCAUGAAGAAGUAAUUAAAGGAGUAAUCCGCUAUAAGAUGGGCCCGCGGCGCAUUAGCUAGUUGGUGAGGUAACGGCUCACCAAGGCGACGAUGCGUAGCCGACCUGAGAGGGUGAUCGGCCACAUUGGGACUGAGACACGGCCCAGACUCCUACGGGAGGCAGCAGUGGGGAAUAUUGCACAAUGGGGGAAACCCUGAUGCAAGCAACGCCGCGUGAGUGAUGAAGGUCUUCGGAUCGCAAAGCUCUGUCUUCAGGGACGAUAAUGACGGUACCUGAGGAGGAAGCCACGGCUAACUACGUGCCAGCCGCCGC